RNAcentral lists this ribosomal RNA (480 nucleotides) under uncultured bacterium. Its description in RNAcentral is "partial 16S ribosomal RNA". It matches the Rfam family "Bacterial small subunit ribosomal RNA", at positions 28 to 507 of the family's 1533-position model. The record is from RNAcentral.
GAUGAACGCUAGCGGCAGGCUUAACACAUGCAAGUCGAGGGGUAGAAGGAGCUUGCUCCUUUGAGACCGGCGCACGGGCGCGUAACGCGUACGCAAUUUACCUUGUACAGGGGUAUAGCUCAGAGAAAUUAGGAUUAAUGACCCCUAGUAUAUAACCUUCGCAUGUUGGUUAUGUUAAAAUUCCAACGGUACAAGGUGAGCAUGCGUCCCAUUAGUUGGUUGGUAAGGUAACGGCUUACCAAGACGGUGAUGGGUAGGGGUCGUGAGGGGGGGGUCCCCCACACUGGUACUGAGACACUGACCAGACUCCUACGGCACGCAGCAGUGAGGAAGAUUGCUCAAUGGUCGCAAGACUGAACCAGCCAUGCCGCGUGCAGGAAGACGGUCCUAUGGAUGGUAACCUGCUUUUAUACAGGAAGAAACCCCUCCACGGGUGGGAGCUUGACGGUACUGGAGGAAUAAGGAUCGGCUAACUACGUG